Motacilla alba alba is the source of this 5506-nucleotide long non-coding RNA. RefSeq lists it as uncharacterized. NCBI's taxonomy places the organism in Eukaryota, Metazoa, Chordata, Aves, Passeriformes, Motacillidae. The record is from RefSeq and is a predicted model, not a curated record. The transcript is spliced from 4 exons.
CCCGGCCUCCAGCAGCAACGUGGGGAACUAUUCCCUGCCCAGACUGUGACAGGGCUCAGGUCCAUCUUAUUUCCAUCCUCUCCCUGCCCCUGGCAUCUCGUGCAGCUGGAUGGUUGUUGGCACCAAAGGCAGCAGGUGUGCUGGAGGAGGAAAAGGAAGAGGAAAAGACCUGAUUGCCGUGGAGCACAUUCCUCAUCCAUGGCAUCAUCCAGUUAAUAGAAUAAUUGGAUCUGCUGGAGGCAAGUUCAUCAAAUGUGGGAUGCACAAUGAAUCCACCACUCUGGGUUCUGUCUCUGAUUCACCACGUGCCAUGAAUCCUGCAAUUCAUCGCUGCCUGCAGCUUUCCUAACUUCCCUGGCAUUUGCAGGAAGGUGCAUGGUCACCCUGUGGAAGCAGAUCUCCAGGAGAACCAUCCACCUCAUCCCUGGUGAGCAGAUCCAGGUUCCUCCAGAUUUCCAGCAGGAUUUGCAGUGGGUGGUCACAGACUGGAGAGCUUGGCAGCUUUUUCAGUGGUGCGGUUUGCUGCAGGACCCACAUAUUUUUACCCUUGUACGGAAUAAUCACAUCCCGAUGAAAUCCAGGAUUUGUGCAGCCCAGCUGACUUUGCAAGUGCCACCACCCUUUGCAGCUGCCCAGACACCAGGCCUGGAUUUCCUGAUCCUCAUCCUCAGCUCUUGAUAUCCUCCUUCCUAAACCAGUCCUGAGCCAGAAGAGCACAUCUUGGAGGACAGCUCCCAAUACAUUUUUCCCAUACUGGGCAGCAGCUCCCACACCAGGGUGCCCUUAUCUCUGUACAUCCCUGUGCAGAGGGUCCUUGGCUGCCCCAGCCUGCCCUGAGUGCCCCACCUUGCUGAUGCAUCUGCAGCCUCCCUCAGGGAACAGGGGAGGCCCAGUGGAGCCUUUCCCCUCUCCCACCACCCGCUCUUGGAGUCUGAGGGAAGCUCAGUGCUCCUGGGAGGUUGGGAUGAGUCAGUGUUUGCACGUCCUGAGUCACUCCAGGGAGUUGCCAGAGAGGAGGGGGGGAUGCCCAGCCUCAUCUGGGGGUGUAAAUAUCCCAGGAAGUUCUGCCUGAAAGAAAAUUCCUAUUCAGUAUUCACCACCUUGUAGGGUUGCUUCCAGCAGGGCCACCACCAUGGACCAGAAGUGUCACUCCAUGAGAAAAAGUUAUUUCCUGGCCCUGCUUCCAUGUAGAAUCCUUUCAGAUGGCCCACAGCUGGUUAUCUGGGAGGGGUGCCACAUCCCCAACUCAUGGCUGUCCUUGGAAACUUCCUAGGACAUGCCCAGGGGUUCCUCUUGGCAGCUCCCUCAGAGCAAGUUUGUGGAACCAGGGCAUCCAAUACUCCAGGGAGGCCAUGGAGGAAUGCCAGGCACAUUCUCAAAGCAGGGCUUUUGGGAUGUCUUUUGAGUAGAAUGAAUUCCCAGUCCUCCCACUGAUUGCAAUUUUUAUGACUAUUUUUGGGCUUUUUUGAGCUGGAGAUGCUCCUGAGCUCAUGGAGGCUUUGGGAGUGGAUUGGCUCAGGAGUCCCUGGUGCUCAAAGCAGGUUUAAGAUUUAAAGGGGAGAGUGAACACCCUUGCUGACACUCCCACAGGCACCUUGUCCUCUGUGCCUUGAUGAACCCCCAGAGAACACCACAGGAUACUUCAAAUACACACCCGGGCUUUAGAUUUUUACCUCCAUUUCCACCUUGAAUGGGAUAAAUUCCCAGGUCAAGAAGAGCUGGAAGAACCACCCCAGGAUUUUCUCUUCUCAGAGUCCCUGCCUCUAACAUGAACUAAAUUUUCUGUGCUUGCUCAGAGCAGAGGCUGAGCAGGGAGUGAGGCCAGAAAAACAGGGGGUCAUGUCAGACUUUCUUUUUCUCUCCUCUUAACACUGAAAUAAAAAUACAUCCCAAGCUUGUUUUGGGAUUAACAAGAAAAAAUUCCUCUUGAUGGGAACCAUCUGUGGCCAGGAGAUGCCGGCUGUUCUCUGCUUCCCACCCUCACCCAGACGCUGUCAUUUGGGGUGUGUUCCUCUCCCAAAUAUUAUUCCUCUCAUCCCUGUGCUGGUGGGAGGAAUCCCAACUAUUUAAGGAGGCUUUUCUCCCAGCAUUUCAAAGCAGCAGCAGCUGGUGACACCUAUGGAGGAUAAUAUUUGCUCUCCUCAUUACAGCCCCAGCGCCCAGCACAGCUUGCUGGUGGCUGCUGGGCUCAGAGGGGAAGCACUGCAAGUGUCUUGGGUGUCACCUUUCCACCCCAGACGUCACCUCAGGGUCAAAGCAAACAUCUCGAGGCCUCUCUGGCCUGUCCCACAAACCAGGAGGGGAAAUCUGCCCUGAGGAGUGGAGAUUCCCUGGCUCUGCCUCUGCUGUGCUGGUGGAAAUGAGGGCGUUGGUGCUGGUCCCUUCAUGGUGUCUAGGAAUGAGGAUAUUUCUGGGGUGGACCUUGGCCCCAGCUGAAGUUUUGGGGUGGAAAAUGCUACUUCUGGGCUAGGCUGGGCUGGUAGUGGGAGGAUGAAGAGGUGCAUUUGCAGCAUCAGAAACUCCAGAGAGACUUGGAGCAGGGAGAAGCCUCUAAGACGAGGAAGAAGAGAGGAAGCUCAGAGUGAAUCCAGCAGAACCCAGGGAGGGUCUGGCUCAAGAGGAGAGGCUGAAAGAGUUUCUCUGCUCUCUCCAUGCAGCUGAGGAGGCUGCCUGGCUGAAAUGUCUCCUCCUGGGAUCAGCUCCUGGCAGGUUGAGCAGGAAGCUGGGAGCAAGACAAGCCCAACAGGUUCUGGGCUGUGAAACCUCCUGGAUGGCAGCACAUCCCUGGCCUGGGAUCCAAGGGCUGAACUGAAAUGGACCCAAAUGAGCAUUUUAGGGGCUUUCCCAAACCUGGCUGCAUGAAGGAUUUUGUGUGGGCCUUGACAUCUUCAGAGUGAUCCAGGCUUGGCUUGGGAGGUGGUUUGGAUUUAUUUGGAGAAUGGAGGGCAGGACAUUCAGGCCUUGCUUACCCUGCCCUCCUGCUUGUCCCUCAAUGUGGGGACCCCUCAGUUCCUGUACUCUGCCAGGACUGAGCUAAUCCUCACCUCUCCUCCAUGGAGCCCAGCAGGAGCUGGUUGGAGUGAAGGAUGCUGCUCCCUCCUUCCCCCUGGGGCUGGCACGAAGCAUCCCGGAGGCACUGGUGGAUUUUGUCCUCCAGCAGAUGAAGGCAGAAUGCUUUCCAUCUUUGAGGCUGGAAAAAUCCAUCCCACAGACACCCCCCAGGCUUGUCCCUGCAGCUGGGGGUGCAGCCCACGCUCCCAUCCCAGGAAUGUGGGAUGUUCUGGUGCUGCUUUGCCCAGCCCUGCUCUGACCACAGGCUGGGAACGGGCCUGGCUGCUCUCAGAAUAUUCCAUGGAUCUCUGAAUCCAUGGCUGUUGUAAGGUGCUCACCCAAAAGCUGGUGUUGUGAAAGGAGGACUCAUCUUUCCAAGAUCUUUUAACAAAUCCCUCCUGGUCCAAAGACACCCCAAAAUGCCAUUCUGGCUUUAACAAAGAAGGGUGUUUGUGCACAGUUACUGAUGCUUGGAAAGCUGAAUGCAGGUGCUGUGCUUCACCCAUCAAAAAGCAAUUUACAAAUAAAAUUUGUAGAAAUUUAUAUAAACUGCUGGAACAGCAUCAUGUAGAGCAACAUUAUAUUGUAACAGCAAGAAAAUUUGCUGGGUUUUUUUAUUGUUAUUUUAUUAGAAAUAGAGGGAAAUGGAUUCACAUAACAUUUUUCAGACUGUGAGGUUUUGAACUCUGGGGGUUUAAUUUCAGCAGUGUUUGUGCACACACGCUCCAUCUCAGGCAGGCUGAGCUGGGUUUUUCAUCCCCUGUGAUAGGGUCAAACCCCACAUUACCAUCCAAGAAAACUCUGGGAUGGAGAGGAUCAGAAAACUGAUUCUUCCCCUGACCUGGCUGAAUAACAGGGGCUUUGUUCAGGGAUCCAGGUCAGGGAUUUUAUUUCAGUACCUGCAAAGAAGCUAUGAGAAGAAUGCAGCAGGUUCCUCCCAGCCUGGAGAAAUGCAGAGAUAUCCCCAAAGGUGUUUAAUAUUAACUGGAGCAGGGCACAUCCCUGAAGGGCUUGAUUGUGAGCCUAUCUGUGUUUGUAUCCAAACAUCACCUGCAAAUUCCCAGCGUGGCCAGAGCUGGAGCAGGUGAAAGUCCUCCUGGAGGGAGCUGGAUCAAUACUGGGUUUGUCAAUAAAGAUCAUCCCGUGCUGGCACCAGGAAUGUGAGCCACAAGCCCAGACCUUCCUGUGCAGGCACAGAACAAAGGCCUCAGCCAAAAGGCUCUGAUGAAUGUGUUGGUGAAGAGAAGAGAGCUGGGUGGGCAGGGAGCAGAGGGAACAAAGCAGCCCUGUGUGCACGGGGCAGCCAGGGAGAACGCUGGGAUUUGCCUUCCAGGGUGGAUGUGAUGGCAGCUCCUCCAGCAAAGCCCACUGGGAUUUUGAUGCAAGCAAGGUUUGGCCUUCACACUCACCCUCUCUGACUCUUCUGGUCAGAUGUUAUCAGAAGCCUUUUUUUGGUAAGGCUCCUUCUCACAGGGCAGGGAAGUCUUGCAUAACAUAAUGAGAAAUAUAGUUCCAUCCUAGCUGUGUCAGCUGCAUUUGUUUAUUAAGUGGACUGCACUAGAAAAUUCUGUUAAACAAAGUUUAAUUUAAAACAAAUUAGUUCAGAGAUGCCCUGAAGUCCUCCCAAUACAUCUGGAAUCAUGGAAUCAUUAAAGCUGAAAAAGACCUCCAAGAUCAUCAGGUUUAAUCUUUGACCAAAUCCCAUCCCUAAACCAUAUUGUGAAGUAUCACAUCAACGUGAUUCUUUUCUAUGGGUUUUCCUUUUUCCACAGGAGAUUUGUGUUUAUCCUAAGCUUGAUACUGAGAGCAGGAGCUGGGGGUUAUGGAUGGCUUCAUUCCUUCCAACUGUGUAUUGAAUGUGGGGAAAAAUGCCAGCAAAUAAAAGGUCACCAGCUUGGGAUACAGGACCAACAGCUCCUGUUGGGAGCUGUGGGACCCUUUGUGGCAGUCACUGUCCUUGUCAGGACACUGCCCAGCUCCCCUCCAUCCAGAGGGCUCCGGAUGCACUGAACUGAUCCAUGAUUCUCCAGCCCUUUGAAGGGCUGUGGGGCCAGUCCAGGGCUUGUUUGCCCAAGACAAUGAUAUAGGGGAUCCUUUAGGGCUUCAAAGGGACAGGAGGGCACACAGGGUGCUCUUCAUCCUGAGAAACAUCAGUGGAGACAGACGUUCCUCACCUUGCCACUGGGUCACCACCACCCCAAAAACUGCUCCUGGCUCCUCCAGAUCUUCUCAGUUUUAUAUUUUUUGUAUUUAUUUCAUAUUUAUUUACCUGUUAUGACUGAGCCAUCCCUAUUUCCUCCCCCACAAUCUAAGAGUUCAAUGCAGUCAUCAGGGGAUGCUGAGGGUGACAGGGACCUGAUUUACCUGCUCCAAUAAUCCCUGCCACUGACUUUCCUCUUAUUUAUGUACAUCCCUCUUAUCUCCUGGAAGGGGUUGCUGGUUAACUCCCCCAGAG